Molecule: ribosomal RNA, 492 nt
Filed under: uncultured bacterium
Lineage: Bacteria
Description: partial 16S ribosomal RNA
Rfam family: Bacterial small subunit ribosomal RNA
Source: RNAcentral
AGUGAACGCUGGCGGUAUGCCUAACACAUGCAAGUCGAACGGCAACACAUUAAUAGAUUGGUCGUAGGGGGGGCGAGUGGCGGACACGUGCGGAUUACAGCGGAAUCUACGCUUUCAUCGGCUAUAACUUACCGAAACGUUCGCGAAUACCGCAUACGACCUACGCGUGAAAGCACGGGAUCUUCGUACCUUGCUCGAUGGAGUAAUCCGAUGUCAGAGUAGAGAUUUGGCGGGGUAAAGGGCCGCCAAGGCGACGAUCCGUAGCUGGUCUGAGAGCCUGAUCGGACCCACUGGAACUGAGACACGAUCCAGACUCGUACGGAAGGCAGCCGUGGGGAAUAUUGGACGAUGGGAGCAAGCAUGAUCCAGCCAUACCGCGUAGGUGAAGAAGGCCUUCGGGUUGUAAAGCCCUAUUGUUGGGAAAGAAAAGCAGCAGGUUAAUACCAAGAUGUAAUGACGGUACCCAAAGAAUAAGCACCGGCUAACUUCGUG